AGCGAACGCUGGCGGCAGGCUUAACACAUGCAAGUCGAGCGGGCAUAGCAAUAUGUCAGCGGCAGACGGGUGAGUAACACGUGGGAACGUACCUUUUGGUUCGGAACAACUGAGGGAAACUUCAGCUAAUACCGGAUAAGCCCUUACGGGGAAAGAUUUAUCGCCGAAAGAUCGGCCCGCGUCUGAUUAGCUAGUUGGUGAGGUAAUGGCUCACCAAGGCGACGAUCAGUAGCUGGUCUGAGAGGAUGAUCAGCCACACUGGGACUGAGACACGGCCCAGACUCCUACGGGAGGCAG
RNAcentral lists this ribosomal RNA (297 nucleotides) under uncultured Pseudomonadota bacterium. Its description in RNAcentral is "uncultured proteobacterium partial 16S ribosomal RNA". It matches the Rfam family "Bacterial small subunit ribosomal RNA", at positions 29 to 351 of the family's 1533-position model. The record is from RNAcentral. Lineage: Bacteria; Pseudomonadati; Pseudomonadota.